Molecule: long non-coding RNA, 1070 nt
Organism: Quercus lobata
Lineage: Eukaryota; Viridiplantae; Streptophyta; Magnoliopsida; Fagales; Fagaceae
Exons: 3
Source: RefSeq, a predicted model, not a curated record
CUAGUUCCAAAUUUCAGAAGUCCAAUCCUCAGUCGUCUCUCCGUCUCUCAUCAGUUUCAAAUUUCAGAUUCAAUUCCAUCUCUUUCCAAUUCGACGCAUAUUCAAAACUACGCCAAUUCAAAUCCAUUGUUUCUAAUGGCUUUAAUUGACAUGGAAACUGCUUUGUUAUCUUUCCCAAGUUCUUCUUCUUCUUCUUCAUCUUCUACUGGCAGAUGGAAGUAUGAUGUCUUCAUCAGUUUCAGAGGCGAGGACAACCGCAACACAUUUGCAGACCUUCUAUAUGAUGCCUUCAAAAGGGAGGGCAUUAUCGCCUUUAAGGACGAUGAGAAACUUGAGAAAGGAAAAACUAUUUCGCCAGAGCUUUCGAAUGCAAUAGAAAAAUCAAGAUAUGCUGUUGUCAUCUUCUCAAAAAACUAUGCAUCUUCAACUUGGUGCUUAAAUGAACUUGUAAAGAUUGUUUAGUGCGAGAAAGAGAAAAUUUGGCCUGUUUUUUAUGAUGCGGAGCUAUCCGAUGUAUGGAAACAAAAAGGAACUUUCGAACAUGACUUUAUCAAACAUGAACAAAAUUUCAACGAGGACCGGGUGAACAUGUGGAGAGAUGCUUUGAGUCAAGUUGGCGAAAUCGUUGGAUGGCCUGUAAUAAAUAGGCCCUGGUCACAGGUUAUCAGAAGCAUUGUUAGAGUAAUAUCGCAUAAAUUGAAUGAUGAUACAUUCUCAGAUAUUGAUGAGGGUCUAAUAGGAUUAGACUCUCGAGUGCUGGAGUUGGAGUCAUGUUUAGAUGUAGGGUCAAACUAUUUUCGCUUUAUAGGGAUUUGGGCGAUGGGGGGAAUGGGUAAGACAACUCUUGCUAGAGUUGUUUAUGAUAUGGUUUUCAAAGAAUUUGAAGCUUGUAGUUUUAUUGCAGACGUUAGGGUUACUUUCUGAAAAACAUGGUUUAGUUUUCCUAUAACAGAAACUUGUUUCUGACAUUUUGAUGGGAACAGAUUUGAAAGCUCCAUCAAAAUAAACUGAGCUGUAAGAUCAAUCAAAUGCUCGGGGUUGGGAAAACAAGGGACCCCUUUGUCAAUCAA